CUUUUAAAAGCAGACACAUCAAAACUCAGAGACUCCGGAAACCCAAUCGCCUGUUCAUUGAAGAUAAGGAUUAAACUCCAACUGGAGACAUAAACUGCCAUAUUCCAAGGAAGAAAAAACUCAAACUUGCAGCUCAAUGAUGAGCAGAGGAAGAGAUUCUUUCUGAAGACAACCAUUUUACCCCAGCAAUCCAGAGUCCAAGAGAAUCUUCAGUGAAUGAAAAUGCUGCCCAAAUCCAGAACUUUAGAACCAGGGCAAGGCUUUUUAGAAGGAAAACAACAGACUGCGCAACAUGGUCAUUCCAGCUUUGUUAGUGGACAUGAGACAAAUUCUAAACAAGAAAAAUUCUACAAAAGAUGUAUGUGAGAUUGAAAGUGAGGGUAAAAGUGCACCUAUCAAACCAUCCAAAGUGAAACUUGGAACCAUCGCUGUCUCCAUUCAUUGUUGUGCGACUGCAAAAGCUCAAGAUGCUGUCGUAAAACAACAUCCAGGGACCAGGGUAUCUGAUAUACGAAAAACAAUCAACACAAGAAUUUGUGAAUUAAGGCA
Molecule: long non-coding RNA, 549 nt
Organism: Cyprinus carpio carpio
Lineage: Eukaryota; Metazoa; Chordata; Actinopteri; Cypriniformes; Cyprinidae
Source: Ensembl